CCCACACCAACUCCCCAGCCGCCGCCAUCCUCCUCUCAAUUUCGCCAUCCUCCAUGAUCUGCGCCAAUCCUCGCCACCACUGCUCCAAUUCUCCGCCACCCGUUGACUUGACAUCAGCUGACCAAAUCCCCGUCCACCCACCCAAAUUCCCCGCUGCCUCUCCACUGGUUCCCAGCCCUUCAUCUUCCCCCAAAUCGAGCUCGAUUAAAUGCGCAGCUCAAAGGAGCUGCCCAAGGAGAAGGAAGAGAAGAGCAGUGCUCGGGAAGAGAAGCGUUCAGCUGCCGUCACCAUCGCUGCUACUUUGUUCGAGCUCAUCCCGCCGCACGAUUGACUGAUGGCCACGAGGCACAGGGAGUGGUCCUUCCCCAACUCCCCGCUCACCCCAUCCUCUGGCACCAGGUAACCAGCCGCUUGUGCUUUUCUCCCUGCCUUGUAGAUCCCCUUGGUCCUGGUCUGAUCUGCUGCAGGUGGGGGUGGGAUUUGCCGUUGCUGCUGCUACUAACUUGGGGAUAGGAGACCUAGAUGAGGAUGUCAUGGAUUUAUUCUCUCUCAGUUUCAAUUUUGAUUAUUCUACUCUACAUCACUAUCGGCUACUUUGUUAGAUUCUACUGGAUCCGGCACCUGUUGGCAUGCACAGAUUAUCCAUGGUACUGAUAUCGACGAUCCCCUAUUCUAUUCCAAGAUCUGUGCGAAUCUACUGAUACUAUUGUUUUAUUCCUGCUCUGUUCCUUAGUGUCGCCAAUAUUUUGGACAAGCAAGGGAGUCAAUUGAAAAGAAAAACCAUAACUUUGUAUUUUGGUAUUAGGUUUAUUAAAACCUGCUGUCUACUGCUCGCAGGAUAGAAUUUGUAGCACCAGCCGCAGUCUGCUCUUGCUUUUUGGCUUUGUGCUCUGUAACCUGCUUUGCUCAAAAUGUUACUAGCAGGAUAGCAUCACAGAAUAGUGGAAAACAACUACAGACAUAUUACUGUGAACAAUUAUGGUUGGAACACAGAUGUAUCUUGAUAACAUAUAUGGAAGCCCUUGUACUUAUCUUCGCUAACUAAAUGAGCUAUUAGGUUUGUUUCAGAGAAGCAAUCUCUGUCAGUUCUUAAAUUAGAUGGCUGCAGCAUGCUUUGGUUUAUUCUGAGGACCAUAUCUAUUUGGAAUCGAGUUAUUAUCAAUAAAAAGUCAUAUGCACUGAUAGUCCUACAACUAUUUAAUACUAUUUAAACCGUUGGUGUAUAAUACUAUAUCUCUUUCGAAUCGAGUUAUCAAUAUAAAGUCAGUGAUGGUCCGACAACUAUUUAAAGUGUUGGUGUAUAAAUUGAACUUGAAGUGUUUAACAGAAUGAUGAAUGGAGAACAUAUCUACACGUGUGUUGUUCUUAUAACCUACAAAUACGAGGAAUCAAGAAGUUGCUCUCAUGUGUCAGUCCUCUUAGGUCUUGGCUCUAUAAGUUUCAGUUGACAUUAAUGACACCUAUAGCUAUUCUCUUAUAUUUAUUAACGACUUGGCUCGAAUAAUUUUAAAAUCCCUACAUGUAACUUAUUAACCCUGGGUCGUCUCUUGCUUUUUGCUUAUAUUCAUUUUUUACUUAGUAACAACUUGUUGUUUCUAUACAGAUUCAUGAAGCUGGAAGCCUGUAAAGGCAUCAAGUAAAGAGCAGGUCACUUCAGGUAAUCCAACAUUAGCCAAUGAGGUGCCGACCAAAGAAACACAUCAGGAGAUUACUCAGUCCAUGUGCAAGCAUGGUUUUUAUCUAAUUAAUGAAGGGGGAGAAACACUACCUUCCUGCUUCCUGAUAAAGGGGGAGACAAAAGCUUCAAGUUUGCAGAUACCCAAGCCUUUUGCAGAGAAGAGAGAUUCUAAACUGAACAAGGAUUACCAUGCAGGCGGAUUUGCUAAAAACUGUUAGUGAAAUUUUGGUAGUGAGUUUUAGGUGUUAGUGAGCUAAGCUUUUGGAUAGAAUGGUGGAUGUAUCACUUUUGGUCAUAUGAUAGGAUGUAGAGGUAGAGAUGUUGAUGGCUUGCUCAUGCACAGACUUCAUGUUUGCGAGCUUCUAAUCUAUUUUGUACUUGUAUGAUGUUGAAUCUGACUGGCCAUAUAUUGUGCUAGCCCAUAUAUCAAUGAAUCAAUGUCAAUGUUUUAUCUUCAUAUUAAUGAAUGUCCUUG
RNAcentral lists this long non-coding RNA (2153 nucleotides) under Sorghum bicolor (sorghum). RNAcentral's name for it is "long non-coding RNA (SBIC_LNC014703)". The record is from RNAcentral. Lineage: Eukaryota; Viridiplantae; Streptophyta; Magnoliopsida; Poales; Poaceae.